UUGGGAUAUGGAGAUAUGUACCCGGAGACGUGGUCUGGGAUGCUGGUGGGGGCGCUGUGUGCGCUGGCGGGCGUGUUGACCAUCGCUAUGCCCGUUCCUGUGAUCGUCAAUAAC
Non-coding RNA from Danio rerio (zebrafish), 114 nucleotides. NCBI's taxonomy places the organism in Eukaryota, Metazoa, Chordata, Actinopteri, Cypriniformes, Danionidae. The record is from Rfam.